GUUUCCCAUACAAGCAGGAGGAACCAGGGUGUGGCUUGCCUGGUGGCCCCACACUGGACUCUGCUGUCUUGAAACGCCUUCUGCCCGGGACGGGGCAUUCGGACUCAACGAGAGGCCUGAAACAUCUGAGAUGCCACGUCACGGACGAAUUCUGUUCUUUGAAUAAAUAAAUAGGCUUCCUCUGGACUUUCCCCUGCCCGCAGGAUCUCUGCUCGAUUUGCUUCUCAGGUGGUGCGGUGGGGUAAAGGAGAAACCCCCGCGUGGAUUAGAACCCGGGAGGGCAGCUCGCACGGCCACGCUGAGCCAAGCACCAUCUAAGGCACACAGACGUCGCCGUCGGGGCAGCAUUUUGACUCAGAAUAAGUGCACAAUCCGGCGACGGCCGUUGCCCUUGUCCCUUGUCGCUGCAGGCUGCCUAAAGCCCUGGGCUGGGGAAGGCAGGAAACAUGGACGGGGCCCACCGUCUCGGGGCAAUCCGGAGGGUCACAGCGAAGGCUAUCCAGGCUGAAUGGGAUACAAGGGAGCUUUCAGCACGAAAAACCUCACCUGGGACUGAUGAGCACGGCCCGAAGCACAGUGUUUAGGACCUGGGAGAUGGCACGAUACCCUCUAGCUCCAUCCAUGUCAUCGCAAAGGGCAAGAUUUCACUCUUCUUGACGGCUGAGUAAUACCCCACGGCACGCGUAUACACCACCUCUCUUUACCCAUUCAUCUGCCGAUGGACAUCUUGGGCUCUCUCCGUAUUUUGGCUAUUGUGGACACCGUGUUAACUGCAGGUAUGUUUUUCACGGCAGUUUCUCCUCCAGUGUGGACCCAACACCAGGGCACCCAAAAAACUCAAACACUCGAGCCAUGGAACCCAGAGAAGUGCUCACCCUGAAUUGACGGAAAACCCGUGAGCGGGACGCAGGUCCUGAACCUCUCCCCAGUCUGACCACCCCAGUUUUGACCAACCGCUUGACUUUCCUGUGCUGCUCAGCCUCCCCUAGCUUUGGGCACGGAUCUUGCCAUCACCCUCUCAGGCCCCACGACCCCAUAACCGGGCAGAGUCCUGGUGCUGCAGAACGUUGGUGCUUCAGGGCAUCACAUAGGUGCAAAGGGCCGCAGGCGGCCCAGCUAGUCUAGAGUCGGCUCUUUGAGGUCGUGUAGGGGGGAGGCUAGAUGCUUGGCAAUGAGUGUGGCUUCAGAGUUGUCCUCCCGUGGUCUCCCCUGGACACUGUUCAAGGAGGGAGCUAUCUAUCGUGUCUGGAGCUACUAACUCCCCAUCUUUGAGAUGCCACAGACACCUGCCCAGGAACGUCCGCAGAGUCCUUACCUCCGGAGGGCGUGCCAGCGACUCUCCUAAGGAAUUUAACCCACUCCUCCAUUUCCGCCUGAGAGCUGGCCAUGAGGACAUAGGAGUCCUGUCCUGUGCGGCUCUGGUCCCAUGAGGCUGGAGGAAGAAGUAAUACUAAUGAAGGUCUUCGAGUGGCGAGCGGCCCAAGGGAAGCAAAGGGAAACUAACCCUCAGCUGCUUCCUUGGUUCAAUUAAACAAGCAGGCACACGACACAAAGGCGUAACCUGCUUAUCCUCAAGGGAACCAAAACUCUAAUUCCAUAGAUAAAUCAUUGAGCACCGCUGGUUUGCAAUUGGGAUGCCCUGGGCUGCGGUGUGCUCCUGUGGGGGAGAGAAGCCAUUUCCUGCCAGAAAGGAAGAGGAGUUCACGGGGCAGCGUCAGUGUUAGAGGAGACAGGCUCAGCCCGCACGAGUUUGAAGCUCGGAGCCCAUCACGCCUUCACAGAGUUUCCCAAGCUACUCAUGAGCUCAGCUGUUGGGGUGGGCACGGGAUAGCAACUCGGGAGGGAGGGACGAUGAGCACCCGUGUGCCUUUCUCACAAAAUCAGUGCUUCCUUACUCAGAACUUCUACUCUCCUACCUGCACGAGACGUUGUAAAAAGGAAGGUUCUCAAGACGUAGUUGAUGGACAAACGAAGUUCGUUAGGACCUUAUCAUUUUCACUUUAAACCCACGAUUACGGGCAGACGUAUGUAAUGCUUCCCGGGUCUGUGUUAGCAAGUAGACAGGAAGGUGGAGGAAACGACGAGACGGGGUGGAAGGGGAGAGGAAACCAAGAGGAAGAAUGAGAGAAAGAGACAAAAAAGAAAAACCAGGACAGAAAAGGAGAAGAGCGGGGAGAAGGAAAGCAUCAAGCGCAGGUCUUAGGAAGGAUAAGAACACAAGAGCAACCCCUUUCAAUCACGGGAUUCUAUUAAAUUCUAUUAAUUAAAUUCUAUUAAAAGUGUCUAUAUAAACAUCAACCCAUUCUUCUCACAAUGUCAGGGCCUUUCUCUCAAAAAGAGUUAGUUCCAGCACCCUAAUUGUGCCCCACACCGAAUUUUCUUCAAGGGCAACAAAAAAAAACCUUCAAAUUGCCUUUGGUCCGGAUCUCUCGAGCCUCUAUUAAUAUCACCACCGCGCUCUUUUGAGCUCUGGAACAACCCAGUUCUGAAUCUAUCUUAUCAAAAGGGUCAUCAGCUCUUCUGACCAGAAGGGUCAGUCCAUGGAGGCCCUUGACCACUCCUCAGACCUAGGUGUUUCCAGAAGUAAAAGAGGAAGUGGAAAGCGGUCGGGGUGGAACUAAAGGAUCCUGUAGCAAUCACGGUGUCCCUUUGAAGUAGAAUGGGCGCUGGGAUCAUUUCUGCGCUACAGCUAAUGGAACUCAAGCCCCGAGAUGCAGACACCUGCCCGCUGGCACCCCGUAAGUUAUAUGGCCAAACUCAAGGCACGGCCCCUGCUCUUUCUCCCAAUAGUUGCCACUGGCCCCUGCUGCUUCCAGUUUGGCCUUGGCCAAAAUUCGUCUGGCAUACUUCUCCACCAUGGCUGUUCUCCAGUCUACCCUGUUAUCAAAAACAUGCCUUUUCGGUUUACCCUGACUUCUGGGAGAGCUUUUAGUUUUGUCCUUAGUUUUGUCUCUCAAUGCGGUUGAGAAAACCCCCUGCUCUCAGGAUGCCCCUGAACGGCUACGGACUCACCCUUCUGGUCAAAAAAAGCCAAUGACGCGAUGACACGACGGCUUCUAAAUCAAGUCAUCGCAAAGGGGUAGAGAAGGUGAUGCUCCAUGAUAUGAGAUGGGUUCAAGCGGUCAAAACCAGAGGGAAUUUGAAAAUCUUCCCUAAAUAUCAACUAAUGGAAUAUCCACUCUAUUUGAAAUGGUAAGUGGCUGCCCGGUCCCUACCUCAAUCAGGGUUGUUUUUUUUUUUUUUCCCGCUCUUUCUUCCAUUUAAUUAUUCCAUUGUGCUUAGUCCAUCAUAAGCCUCUCCUAGCUUUGGGCAUGGAUCUUGCCAUCACCCUCUCAGGCCCCACGACCCCAUAACCGGGCAGAGUCCUGGUUCCCCAUUAGACUAAGAGCACACGAGCUUGUUCUUUGCUGGAUUCCCAGUCCCUGUCAUAGGGCCUGGCUCAUAUAGCAGGUACUCGAUGAAUCUGUUGUGACAUCUCACAAGGUGAGAUGAGAAUUAAAUGCAACAAGAGGAAGAAUGCUUGGUAUCCCUGAUGACUUCCUUGGGGUGGAAGGAGAACCGAUGGCGAUUGUGUGAGAAGUCGGCAGGGAGAGGGAAGCUUGUCCUGCACUCCUGCCCGCCCCAAAACACAGUGUGACGACAGCGAAAGUCUUCUCCCUGGCUCUCGUGCACCCAGUGCCGGUGGUCACAGAGGCCCCGGUUAGGAAGAGCGUGACAAGAAAGGAACUGAAAUGUCUCUGCACCGUGAAUACAGGCUUGCCUCAUUCUAAGUUGGGUGAAGACUUGACAAUGAUGCCUUUAGGGAACCUUCAGGAAAGUGGCUCCCACCCGACUACUACUGCUUUAGGGUUGUUUGUUCUUAUGAGACGUGUGUGUGCAUGUGCAAGCAAUGCACCUGCACACCCAGGAGACCGCAGCAGGUGUGAGUGAUGAUGAGAGGAUAAACCUUGGUCCUGCGUAACAUAGCAAUCCUCACGGGCCCACGGGGAGUCAGCAGCCAGAGCGCCCAGUAGGGUCACCCUCGAUGGAAAGCUCAGGCUCUGGGACGCGUGUUACCAUGGACGCUUGCAUCCCAUGAACCGGGAGAGGGGUCCUAGGACUAGAGGAAUCUUGGAGGGAAAGAAGUGGGGCUUUCUCAGAGAUGAGACACUAAAAAAAAAAACUCUUUCUUUGGGAGGUGGUGAGAGAGAUGGACAGAGCCUUGGAUGAAAAACAAACACAUAAACCAAAAAAAAAAAAACCCCACAAAGGAGUGCCCAUCAGGAAGGAGGCCACCUGGGAAGAGCCUAACUUUAAAAAAAAUUUUUUUUUAA
Molecule: long non-coding RNA, 4313 nt
Organism: Canis lupus familiaris (dog)
Lineage: Eukaryota; Metazoa; Chordata; Mammalia; Carnivora; Canidae
Exons: 2
Source: RefSeq, a predicted model, not a curated record